CCCCCCCCCCCCCCCCCCCCCCCCCCCCCCCCCCCCCCCCCCCCCCCCCCCCCCCCCCCCCCCCCCCGCGGAGGGCGGCGGCGGCCACCACCGAGGAGCGGCGGCGGCAAAGUUUUGGUGUGGGGGGCCAGAGGCGCGGAGGGGAAUUACGAUCGGUGCCGGCGAGGGAUUCCCAGACACCGCCAGUGGUUAUAAUCGUUGAGGUGAGGAUGAAGUCCAGAGCCUGCACAUGUGUACAUGCUUUCCUCCCCAUCAGUCCAAGAAGAGGCAGGUGUGCUGAACACCCAUCACUGAGGCUGGGGACACACUGGAGCCCUCCCUGGAAACUCCACCAUCUAAUAUAAGUCCACAUCCUUCUGCUCACACUGUCAGUGCAGCAAGGGAGGUAGGAGCUCCUGCGUGGCUCUAGCAAUGCACCAAUGAUUGUUCGUGCACGUAUUUCCCCUGUAUGCAGAGGUAUGUUCUGAACUUGUCUUUGCUUUUCUCUGGCAGACAAAAAUCAAGUGGCUCUAAGCUUUGCAAGUACCAGAGUU
Molecule: long non-coding RNA, 533 nt
Organism: Ficedula albicollis (Collared flycatcher)
Lineage: Eukaryota; Metazoa; Chordata; Aves; Passeriformes; Muscicapidae
Source: Ensembl